Non-coding RNA from Danio rerio (zebrafish), 54 nucleotides. The record is from Rfam. NCBI's taxonomy places the organism in Eukaryota, Metazoa, Chordata, Actinopteri, Cypriniformes, Danionidae.
UGUCUCCUCAAUUGUAAGUUGCUUUGGACAAAAGCGUCUGCUAAAUGACUCAGU